ACGUCAAGUCAUCAUGCCCCUUAUGACCUGGGCGACACACGUGCUACAAUGGGCGGCACAGAGCGAAGCGAGCCUGCGAAGGUAAGCGAAUCGCGAAAACCGUUCUCAGUUCGGAUCGGAGUCUGCAACCCGACUCCGUGAAGUCGGAAUCGCUAGUAAUCUCGGGUCAGCAUACCGAGGUGAAUACGUUCCCGGGCCUU
Molecule: ribosomal RNA, 200 nt
Filed under: uncultured organism
Description: partial small subunit ribosomal RNA
Rfam family: Bacterial small subunit ribosomal RNA
Source: RNAcentral